This 227-nucleotide unclassified non-coding RNA is filed under the name plant metagenome. RNAcentral's name for it is "partial contains small subunit ribosomal RNA, internal transcribed spacer 1, and 5.8S ribosomal RNA". The record is from RNAcentral.
UCUCCGUAGGUGAACCUGCGGAGGGAUCAUUACAGAGUUCAUGCCCUACCGGGUAGAUCUCCCACCCUAUGUUAUUAUUACUUUGUUGCUUUGGCGGGCCGUUAGGCUCCGGCCCGACUACCGGCCCCGGCUGGUAGCGCCCGCCAGAGGACCCAAAACCCUGAAUAUUAGUGUCGUCUGAGUACUAUAUAAUAGUUAAAACUUUCAACAACGGAUCUCUUGGUUCU